Molecule: transfer-messenger RNA, 355 nt
Filed under: Phycisphaerales
Lineage: Bacteria; Pseudomonadati; Planctomycetota; Phycisphaerae
Also listed under: 1 other name
Description: F1-120-MAGs238 sp018968885 Standard tmRNA
Rfam family: transfer-messenger RNA
About the family: Bacterial tmRNA, also known as 10Sa RNA or SsrA, is named for its dual tRNA and mRNA-like properties. Its role is to liberate the mRNA from a stalled ribosome. To accomplish this part of the tmRNA is used as a reading frame that ends in a translation stop signal.
Source: RNAcentral
GGGGCCGAAUUGGAUUCGACCGAAAAGACCUUGAUGGAAUGUGGCGCGUCCAGGAGCAUGCGUUGCCUGGUAAAAAGUAUGCACAAUUUUGAUUGCCAACGAACGUCAGUUCGCUCUCGCUGCCUAACUAGGCGGUGACGAUCCCGUCUUGAUGCCCGGUAGGGGCGGGAUCGACGAUUUCGGGCUGGUCGUUGCGUGCUGUCUGCGGGCGCAACGAUGAGACAACUCUGUGGGCUGGACCAAAGGGAAGGUUGUCGACCACCGUCCCGCGGUUGAGACUAAAUAAUCGAAUACACGCGUAGAUGCACCCAUGAAGCUUUUUGGCACGGGGGUUCAAUUCCCCCCGGCUCCAUUU